Molecule: long non-coding RNA, 324 nt
Organism: Sinocyclocheilus grahami
Lineage: Eukaryota; Metazoa; Chordata; Actinopteri; Cypriniformes; Cyprinidae
Exons: 3
Source: RefSeq, a predicted model, not a curated record
CCGUGUAGCGGUGUGAAUCUGUCAGAUGAGCGUAUUAAUGCGGCACCAAAAUGAAACUGUGAAUGAAUAAAUAAUAUCGAAGACACUGAACGGAUCACAGUACAUCUGUAUAGGUCCCGUUGUUCGUCGUCUCCCGGAAGAAGUUCUACGUCCUCUCCAUGUUCCCGUACCCAUCGGGUCGGCUGCAUAUGGGCCACGUGAGGGUUUACACCAUUAGCGACACCAUCGGCCACUUCCAGAGGAUGAGGGGCCAUCGGCCUCUUCUUGAUGCUUUGGCAGAUCUCCCCGAAUGGUAUGGAGUCAAAAGCAUGCAGGCCAACUGGA